This 588-nucleotide ribosomal RNA is filed under the name Kluyveromyces lactis. Its description in RNAcentral is "partial 26S ribosomal RNA". Lineage: Eukaryota; Fungi; Ascomycota; Saccharomycetes; Saccharomycetales; Saccharomycetaceae. The record is from RNAcentral.
GGUCCGUGUUUCAAGACGGGCGGCAUUUAACCAUUACGCCAGCAUCCUUGACAAAAGUCGCAAUCCUCAGUCCCAGCUGGCUGUAUUCCCACGGGCUAUAACACUCUACCGAAGCAGAGCCACAUUCCCGAGGAUUUAUCCAACCGCUAAAACUGAUGCUGGCCCAGCGAAAGCCGAAGCAAACGCCAUGUCUGAUCAAAUGCCCUUCCCUUUCAACAAUUUCACGUACUUUUUCACUCUCUUUUCAAAGUUCUUUUCAUCUUUCCAUCACUGUACUUGUUCGCUAUCGGUCUCUCGCCAAUAUUUAGCUUUAGAUGGAAUUUACCACCCACUUAGAGCUGCAUUCCCAAACAACUCGACUCGUCGAAAGCACUUUACAAAUAACUGGGAUCCUCGCCACACGGGAUUCUCACCCUCUAUGACGUCCUGUUCCAAGGAACAUAGACAAGGACCAGCUACAAAGUUGCCUUCUUCAAAUUACAACUCGGACGUCGAAGACGCCAGAUUUCAAAUUUGAGCUUUUGCCGCUUCACUCGCCGUUACUAAGGCAAUCCCGGUUGGUUUCUUUUCCUCCGCUUAUUGAUAUGC